AUUGAACGCUGGCGGCAGGCCUAACACAUGCAAGUCGAACGGUAACAGGAAGAUGCUUGCUUCUUUGCUGACGAGUGGCGGACGGGUGAGUAAUGUCUGGGAAACUGCCUGAUGUAGGGGGAUAACUACUGGAAACGGUAGCUAAUACCUCAUAACGUCGCAAGACCAAAGAGGGGGACCUUCGUGCCUCUUGCCAUCGUAUGUGCCUAGAUGGGAUUAGCUAGUAGGUGGGGUAACGGCUCACCUAGGCGACGAUCCCUAGCUGGUCUGAGAGGAUGACAGGCCACACUGGAAGUGAGACACGGUCCAGACGCCUACGGGAGGCAGCAGUGGGGAAUAUUGCACAAUGGGCGCAAGCAUGAUGCAGCCAUGCCGCGUGUAUGAAGAAGGCCUUCGGGUUGUAAAGUACUUUCAGCGGGGAGGAAGGGAGUAAAGUUAAUACCUUUGCUGAUUGACGGUACCCGCAGAAGAAGCACCGGCUAACUCCGUG
This 490-nucleotide ribosomal RNA is filed under the name uncultured bacterium. Its description in RNAcentral is "partial 16S ribosomal RNA". It matches the Rfam family "Bacterial small subunit ribosomal RNA", at positions 30 to 507 of the family's 1533-position model. The record is from RNAcentral.